This is a non-coding RNA of Cinara cedri, 637 nucleotides long. The record is from the annotation of a GenBank genome assembly. NCBI's taxonomy places the organism in Eukaryota, Metazoa, Arthropoda, Insecta, Hemiptera, Aphididae.
AACGUAUAAACAUGUCUAUAGACCAUCUUACCUUAGUGAGAUUGUAUAUAAGACAUAAGAAGUUUAAAAUUUUUAAUUCUGAACAUAAUGAGGAAGCUAUUUAUUUUAUAAUACUUUCAUUUUAAGAAAAAUGCAAAUAAAAUUAUUUAGGUUAUGUAUUUUUUAUCAAUAAGAUCCUUGUGGUAGAGGAUUAGAGUACUCCCACCAUAUCUCAAUCUGCCGCAAGAGGCCAUAAAUGGGAUUGGAGUCAAGUCAACAGCGUACAAUUUUGUUGAAUAGCAUGAAAUGUCUUAAUUAGGGAUUAAGGAGAUUACAUGAUCUGGGAUAUACAUGGGGAAUUGAUGUAGCUAGGGUUAGAGGCCUGGGUGAGCAUGUGAUUUUUAACCAGAUAACAAGUGCAGUAGAAGUUUCAGCAGUCAUGUGUACAGACCAACUAUUGUAGUUCUAGGUAGGAAACGGUGUAGGAACAUCAUUACUGCUCUAUAGAUUAAACCUACAAAAGAAUAAGAGUAUACCUAUUUCUCUUACAAGUAAGAGAAAUAGGUAUAAGGUAAGAAUAUAAAUUUGGAAUGUAUUGAACGAUCCCAAAUAGUUGGGAUGAAAGCAAAGGACAUGACAAGAAUAUUUUAUCCAAAUU